AUAACAUGUUCAAUUUGCGCUAUUUAAUUUGCAUAUGGAUACAUGAAUGGCGUUGGACUCUGAUAUGGGGGAGAGAAGUGCUUUACAAUUUUGUGGUGUCAGUAAAACCACAACUCGGACCCUGCGAGUUCCCAUUUACCACACGGACCGUCCGAAUUGCGUUUCACUAUACGCACGGUCCGAUUUGAUGCAGCCUGGACACGCAUCGCUCAGCAGCUUCUCCCCUAACGGUGCCCUGAAAUCAAACAAAGACUCAUGCAAUCCACUUUCAUUAUCCGGUUACAAUCACUUUCAGAUUUCACUUUCAACUUCGCUUCCACCUUCUUCUUCUUCCUUUCUCCGUUUAAAUUUUUUAAAUUUUUUUUAUAUUUCAUAAUUAUAAUUAUUAUUGUUAGGUGGCUAAUUAUUAUUGUUGUGGUUAGAAAUUGAAUUUAGGAAUUAUUAUCAUUUUUAUCAGAUAUAGGUUUUUUUUUAAUUUUUUUAAUAUUUUAUAAUUAAAAUUAUUAUUGUUAGGAAGUUUAUUAUUACUGUUGUUAUUAUUAGAAGCUGAAUAGAAAUGUG
RNAcentral lists this long non-coding RNA (561 nucleotides) under Arachis ipaensis. RNAcentral describes it as "long non-coding RNA (AIPA_LNC002339)". The record is from RNAcentral. Lineage: Eukaryota; Viridiplantae; Streptophyta; Magnoliopsida; Fabales; Fabaceae.